Molecule: ribosomal RNA, 119 nt
Filed under: Pteropus alecto (black flying fox)
Lineage: Eukaryota; Metazoa; Chordata; Mammalia; Chiroptera; Pteropodidae
Source: RNAcentral
AUCUACGGCCAUGCCACCCUGAAUGUACCCGAUCUCGUCUGAUCUUGGAAACUAAGCAGGGUCAGGCCUGGUUAGUAGUUGGAUAGGAGACCACCUAGGAAUACCAGGUGCUAUAGGCA